GGGGAUGUAGCUCAAUGGUAGAGCAUUUGCCCAACAUGUGAGGACCUGAGUUCCAUCCUCAGUAACACCU
This 70-nucleotide transfer RNA is filed under the name Cavia porcellus (domestic guinea pig). It matches the Rfam family "tRNA". Rfam says of the family: Transfer RNA (tRNA) molecules are approximately 80 nucleotides in length. Their secondary structure includes four short double-helical elements and three loops (D, anti-codon, and T loops). Further hydrogen bonds mediate the characteristic L-shaped molecular structure. tRNAs have two regions of fundamental functional importance: the anti-codon, which is responsible for specific mRNA codon recognition, and the 3' end, to which the tRNAs corresponding amino acid is attached (by aminoacyl-tRNA synthetases). tRNAs cope with the degeneracy of the genetic code in two manners: having more than one tRNA (with a specific anti-codon) for a particular amino acid; and 'wobble' base-pairing, i.e. permitting non-standard base-pairing at the 3rd anti-codon position. The record is from Rfam by way of RNAcentral. Lineage: Eukaryota; Metazoa; Chordata; Mammalia; Rodentia; Caviidae.